Molecule: long non-coding RNA, 183 nt
Organism: Dromaius novaehollandiae (emu)
Lineage: Eukaryota; Metazoa; Chordata; Aves; Casuariiformes; Dromaiidae
Exons: 3
Source: RefSeq, a predicted model, not a curated record
UAGAAGAAAUACAGACUGAAUGGCACCAAUCUACACAUAAAUGCCUUAAGAAGCACCUCUAACAAGUGGAGAACAUCUUUUUAGUAUGCAGACGUUUGCAUCAAAUGGUAUACCCUUCUUGCUAACCGAUGGAAUGUGAUGUGUUAUGGAUAGCUUGCUCUGAGUAACUCUGGAAAACUUUAA